GUCUCUGGGCAGUAACUGACGCUGAGGAGCGAAAGCGUGGGGAGCGAACAGGAUUAGAUACCCUGGUAGUCCACGCCGUAAACGGUGGGUACUAGGUGUGGGUUUCCUUCCUUGGGAUCCGUGCCGUAGCUAACGCAUUAAGUACCCCGCCUGGGGAGUACGGCCGCAAGGCUAAAACUCAAAGAAAUUGACGGGGGCCCGCACAAGCGGCGGAGCAUGUGGAUUAAUUCGAUGCAACGCGAAGAACCUUACCUGGGUUUGACAUGCACAGGACGCCGGCAGAGAUGUCGGUUCCCUUGUGGCCUGUGUGCAGGUGGUGCAUGGCUGUCGUCAGCUCGUGUCGUGAGAUGUUGGGUUAAGUCCCGCAACGAGCGCAACCCUUGUCUCAUGUUGCCAGCACGUUAUGGUGGGGACUCGUGAGAGACUGCCGGGGUCAACUCGGAGGAAGGUGGGGAUGACGUCAAGUCAUCAUGCCCCUUAUGUCCAGGGCUUCACACAUGCUACAAUGGCCGGUACAAAGGGCUGCGAUGCCGUGAGGUGGAGCGAAUCCUUUCAAAGCCGGUCUCAGUUCGGAUCGGGGUCUGCAACUCGACCCCGUGAAGUCGGAGUCGCUAGUAAUCGCAGAUCAGCAACGCUGCGGUGAAUACGUUCCCGGGCCUUGUACACACCGCCCGUCACGUCAUGAAAGUCGGUAACACCCGAAGCCGGUGGCCUAACCCCUUGUGGGAGGGAGCCGUCGAAGGUGGGAUCGGCG
Molecule: ribosomal RNA, 754 nt
Filed under: Mycobacterium sp. SNP11
Lineage: Bacteria; Bacillati; Actinomycetota; Actinomycetes; Mycobacteriales; Mycobacteriaceae
Description: bacterial SSU rRNA
Rfam family: Bacterial small subunit ribosomal RNA
Source: RNAcentral